CCUACGGGAGGCAGCAGUGGGGAAUUUUGGACAAUGGGCGAAAGCCUGAUCCAGCCAUACCGCGUGCGGGAAGAAGGCCUUCGGGUUGUAAACCGCUUUUGUCAGGGAAGAAAUACUUCGGGCUAAUACCCUGGGGUGAUGACGGUACCUGAAGAUAAGCACCGGCUAACUACGUGCCAGCAGCCGCGGUAAUACGUAGGGUGCAAGCGUUAAUCGGAAUUACUGGGCGUAAAGCGUGCGCAGGCGGUUCUAUAAGACAGAUGUGAAAUCCCCGGGCUCAACCUGGGAACUGCAUUUGUGACUGUAGAGCUAGAGUACGGUAGAGGGGGAUGGAAUUCCGCGUGUAGCAGUGAAAUGCGUAGAUAUGCGGAGGAACACCGAUGGCGAAGGCAAUCCCCUGGACCUGUACUGACGCUCAUGCACGAAAGCGUGGGGAGCAAACAGGAUUAGAUACCCUGGUAGUCCCGACCGACCUAACCGAUAGUCACUAGUUGUUGGGUAGGGUUUACGUUCUCUAGUAACGUAAGACUACGACGUGUAGUGACCGCCGUCGGGAGGUACGGCCGCGAGGUAGUAACGUUAAAGUAGUUAGUUAGUAGGCGUUGAGACGNGCCGACGGACGACGACGAGGGAGGAGG
Molecule: ribosomal RNA, 638 nt
Filed under: uncultured bacterium
Lineage: Bacteria
Description: bacterial SSU rRNA
Rfam family: Bacterial small subunit ribosomal RNA (bases 1-549)
Source: RNAcentral